GCGCAGAGACCAGUGCAGGCACCGUUUCCCGUCCGAUCAACUGUAGUUAAGCUGGUAAGAGACGGACUGAGUACUCUAGUGGGAGACCAUAGGGGAAAUUCCGUUGCUGCAAUCU
This 115-nucleotide ribosomal RNA is filed under the name Zygosaccharomyces bailii ISA1307. The record is from RNAcentral. Lineage: Eukaryota; Fungi; Ascomycota; Saccharomycetes; Saccharomycetales; Saccharomycetaceae.